RNAcentral lists this long non-coding RNA (1491 nucleotides) under Chrysolophus pictus (golden pheasant). RNAcentral describes it as "lncRNA (ENSCPIG00010006806.1)". The record is from RNAcentral. Lineage: Eukaryota; Metazoa; Chordata; Aves; Galliformes; Phasianidae.
AUGGGGCGGUGCUGCUGCUGGGAGGCACUGAGGGCUGAGCGGGGAGAAAUGGGGCAGAAUUGGGCCGAAAAUGGGGGAAGUUGGGUCGGAAAUGGGGGAAAUUGGGCAAAAAAUGGGGGAAGUUGGGCCGAAAAUGGAGGAAAUUGGGCCAAAAAAUGGAGGAAAUUGGGUCGAAAUGGGGGAAGUUGGGCCGAAAAUGGCCCCAAAAAGGGCAGAAACGACCCCAAAAAGAGGCAGAAACGGCCCCAAAAAAGAGAGAAACUCAAACUGGGGGGAAUUUGGCCCAAAAUUGGCCCCAUAAAGAUGCAGAAACGACCCCAAAAAGGGGCAGAAACGGCCCCAAAAAGGCCAGAAACGGCCCCAAAAAGAGGCAGAAACGACCCCCAAAAAAGAGAGAAACCCAAAUCGGGGGGAAUUUGGCCCAAAAUUGUCCCCCAAAAGUGCAGAAACCCCACAAAAGGGAAGAAACGCCCCCAAAAAGGACAGAAACAGCCCCAAAAAGGGCAGAAACGACCCCAAAAAGAGGCAGCAACGGCCCCAAAAAGGGCAGAAACAGCCCCAAAAAGGGCAGAAACCCAAACUGGGGGGAUUUGGCCCCAUAAAGAUGCAAAAAUGGCCCCAAAAAGAGGCAGAAACAGCUCAAAAAAGAGGCAGAAAUGGCCUCAAAAAGGGCAGAAACGGCCUCAAAAAGGGCAGAAACGGCCCCAAAAAGAGACAGAAACGGCCCCAAAAAGAGACAGAAACGGCCCCAAAAAGAGACAAAACGGCCCCAAAAAAAGAGAGAAACCCAAACUGGGGGGAUUUGGCCCCAUAAAGAUGCAGAAAUGGCCCCAAAAGGGCAGAAACGGCCCCAAACAGGGCAGAAAUGCCCCUAAAAAGAGGCAGAAACAGCCCCAAAAAUGGGCAGAAACGGCCCAAAAAGAGGCAGAAACGGCCCCAAAAAAGAGAGAAAACCAAACUGGGGGGAAUUUGGCCCAAAAUUGGCCCCAAAAAGGGCAGAAACAGCCCCAAAGAGGCAGAAACGGCCCCCAAAAGAAGCAGAAACGGCCCCAAAAAGAGGGAGAAACGACCCCAAAAAGUGGCAGAAACGACCCCAAAAAAAGAGAGAAACCCCAAAUGGGGGGAUUUGGCCCCAUAAAGUUGCAGAAACGACCCCAAAAAGUGCAGAAACGGCCCCAAAAAAAAAAAAGGGCAGAAACGGCCUCAAAAAGGGCAGAAACGGCCCCAAAAAGAGACAGAAACGGCCCCAAAAAGAGACAGAAACGGCCCCAAAAAGAGACAGAAACGACCCCAAAAAAGAGAGAAACCCAAACUGGGGGGAUUUGGCCCCAAACGGCCCCACCUGGGGUGCGGCGGCGCUCCAUCAGGGCGCUGCGCGGCGCCGUGGGUUCGUCCUCGAAGUCGAACUCUGUGGGGACCGGAGCCCUGAGGGCAGAACCACCAAAAUCGGCCUUUUUUCACCCAAAACGGGGGCAGCGUGGCAUUUCCUGA